UGCAGUCGAACGGCAGCACGGGAGCAAUCCUGGUGGCGAGUGGCGAACGGGUGAGUAAAGCAUCGGAACGUGCCCAGUCGUGGGGGAUAACGUAGCGAAAGCUACGCUAAUACCGCAUACGAUCUGUGGAUGAAAGCGGGGGACCGUAAGGCCUCGCGCGAUUGGAGCGGCCGAUGUCAGAUUAGGUAGUUGGUGGGGUAAAGGCUCACCAAGCCGACGAUCUGUAGCUGGUCUGAGAGGACGACCAGCCACACUGGGACUGAGACACGGCCCAGACUCCUACGGGAGGCAGCAGUGGGGAAUUUUGGACAAUGGGCGCAAGCCUGAUCCAGCAAUGCCGCGUGCAGGAUGAAGGCCUUCGGGUUGUAAACUGCUUUUGUACGGAGCGAAAAGGCUUCCACUAAUACUGGGGGCUCAUGACGGUACCGUAAGAAUAAGCACCGGCUAACUACGUGCCAGCAGCCGCGGUAAUACGUAGGGUGCAAGCGUUAAUCGGAAUUACUGGGCGUAAAGCGUGCGCAGGCGGUCUUGUAAGACAGGUGUGAAAUCCCCGGGCUUAACCUGGGAACUGCACUUGUGACUGCAAGGCUGGAGUACGGCAGAGGGGGAUGGAAUUCCGCGUGUAGCAGUGAAAUGCGUAGAUAUGCGGAGGAACACCGAUGGCGAAGGCAAUCCCCUGGGCCUGUACUGACGCUCAUGCACGAAAGCGUGGGGAGCAAACAGGAUUAGAUACCCUGNUAGUCCACGCCCUAAACGAUGUCAACUGGUUGUUGGGUCUUCACUGACUCAGUAACGAAGCUAACGCGUGAAGUUGACCGCCUGGGGAGUACGGCCGCAAGGUUGAAACUCAAAGGANUUGACGGGGACCCGCACAAGCGGUGGAUGAUGUGGUUUAAUUCGAUGCAACGCGAAAACCUUUACCCACCUUU
Molecule: ribosomal RNA, 929 nt
Filed under: uncultured soil bacterium
Lineage: Bacteria
Description: bacterial SSU rRNA
Rfam family: Bacterial small subunit ribosomal RNA
Source: RNAcentral